AGAUAUUUUUUUGUAUAUUAGGACAAUUUUGAGUCGAUUUAACCAAGGAUGACGAGAGAUGAACAAGGAUGAACAACUCUGAAGAGAAUUCUUGUCCAGGGUGAAAUGCAAAAAGUCUACAUACAUCACGUAGAACUGAAAACAGAGAAUAUUGAACUAUUGCAAUAUGUUAGCUGUUUCCAUCGUUGCCAUCAUGGUAUAGUGGUAAAGACUGAGGCCAUCAUGAGCGAACGUUGUGGACCGUCUCCAGGUAAGACUCUCGUAACUUUUCGUAUAAUUUUUCUUUAUUUCUUUUUGCCAUUAUUUUUCGAAACAUGUCUCUAAAUCGCACCUCCUAACAGCUGAAUAUUCAUUUUUAGAUAUUUUUUUGUAUAUUAGGACAAUUUUGAGUCGAUUUAACCAAGGAUGACGAGAGAUGAACAAGGAUGAACAACUCUGAAGAGAAUUCUUGUCCAGGGUGAAAUGCAAAAAAUCUACAUACAUCAAGUAGAACUGAAAACAAAGAAUAUUGAACUAUUGCAAUAUGUUACCUGUUUCCAUCGUUGCCAUCAUGGUCUAGUGGUAAAGACUGAGGCCAUCAUGGUCUAGUGGUAAAGACUGAGGCCAUCAUGAGCGAAUGUUGUGGACCGUCUCCAGGUAAGACUCUCGUAAUGUCAAAAUGUGCUUAAAAAUUUUCCUGAGCGAAAACUUUCUUCAUCAUUAUGCCUUUUGGACAUUUCUAAGUCGGUCCAUGACGGAAAAGUUUAUUCG
This 750-nucleotide long non-coding RNA is filed under the name Paramuricea clavata. The record is from RNAcentral. Lineage: Eukaryota; Metazoa; Cnidaria; Anthozoa; Malacalcyonacea; Plexauridae.